GGGGGGGGGGGGGGGGGGGGCUGGUGGGGGGGGGGCGAGGGAAGGGGCGAGGAGGUGGCUCCGCGGACGUUAGCGGCGGACGGGGGAGGAGCACGGGGAUAACCUACCUAUAAGACUGGGAUAACUUCUGGAAACCGGAGCUAGUACCGGAUAAUAUAUUGAACCGCAUGGUUCAAUAGUGAAAGACGGUUGUGCUGUGACUUAUAGAUGGAUCCGCGCCGCAUUAGCUAGUUGGUAAGUUACAGGCUUACCAAGGCAACGAUGCGUAGCCUACCUGAGAGGGUGAUCGGCCACACUGGAACUGAGACACGGUCCAGACUCCUACGGGAGGCAGCAGUAGGGAAUCUUCCGCAAUGGGCGAAAGCCUGACGGAGCAACGCCGCGUGAGUGAUGAAGGUCUUCGGAUCGUAAAACUCUGUUAUUAGGGAAGAACAAAUGUGUAAGUAACUAUGCACGUCUUGACGGUACCUAAUCAGAAAGCCACGGCUAACUACGUG
RNAcentral lists this ribosomal RNA (497 nucleotides) under uncultured bacterium. Its description in RNAcentral is "partial 16S ribosomal RNA". It matches the Rfam family "Bacterial small subunit ribosomal RNA", at positions 35 to 507 of the family's 1533-position model. The record is from RNAcentral.